RNAcentral lists this small RNA (117 nucleotides) under Macaca mulatta (Rhesus monkey). RNAcentral describes it as "Metazoan signal recognition particle RNA (ENSMMUG00000062763.1)". Lineage: Eukaryota; Metazoa; Chordata; Mammalia; Primates; Cercopithecidae. The record is from Rfam by way of RNAcentral.
GCCGGGUGCGGUGGCUCACACCUGUAAUCCCAGCACUUUGGGAGGCUGAGGUGGGUGGAUCACCUGAGGUCAGGAGUUUGAGACCAGCCUGGCCAACAUGGUGAAACCCCGUCUCUA